RNAcentral lists this ribosomal RNA (370 nucleotides) under uncultured organism. RNAcentral describes it as "bacterial SSU rRNA". It matches the Rfam family "Bacterial small subunit ribosomal RNA", at positions 526 to 896 of the family's 1533-position model. The record is from RNAcentral.
CGUAGGGUGCAAGCGUUAAUCGGAAUUACUGGGCGUAAAGCGUGCGCAGGCGGUUUUGUAAGACAGUGGUGAAAUCCCCGGGCUCAACCUGGGAACUGCCAUUGUGACUGCAAAGCUAGAGUGCGGCAGAGGGGGAUGGAAUUCCGCGUGUAGCAGUGAAAUGCGUAGAUAUGCGGAGGAACACCGAUGGCGAAGGCAAUCCCCUGGGCCUGCACUGACGCUCAUGCACGAAAGCGUGGGGAGCAAACAGGAUUAGAUACCCUGGUAGUCCACGCCCUAAACGAUGUCAACUGGUUGUUGGGUCUUAACUGACUCAGUAACGAAGCUAACGCGUGAAGUUGACCGCCUGGGGAGUACGGCCGCAAGGUUG